This 622-nucleotide long non-coding RNA is filed under the name Olea europaea subsp. europaea. Lineage: Eukaryota; Viridiplantae; Streptophyta; Magnoliopsida; Lamiales; Oleaceae. The record is from RNAcentral.
CUUAAGCUAUAAAUCUCACUCACGUCUUAGUUUGAAUUCUUUUAGAAUAAGAUUUGGUUGAGUCAGGAUUUGUUCUUUGAAGGACUUGGGUAAAGGCUUUGAGUGAGAAAAAGCAAUAGUGGUGAGACUGAUAGAGGGAAAAAGCCAAUUUGAAUGAUACACGAGGGAAUACACGUGAGGCAAAUAUUAUUUAGAUUUAGGAUGUUUGACAAAGAUGACUCCACUUCAAGUAGAAACAACAAUCAAGUCAACAUGUCGAAAGAGUUGAUACGACGAUUUGAAAGGUUGUUUGAAGAUAUGAGGGAUAGGUUGGAUAGACAAGAGAAUGGAAAGGUAAGACCUAUUGCUUGCCAACUUACGUAAGAGAGUUCCCAAUACGAGGCGGCAAGAUAGGAGGGAGCCUAGGGUGGAAAAUCGUGAUGAAAAUGAAGUGGGUAGUGAUAUUAAUGAGGGGACAUUAGUGGAUGCCAAGAUAAGAAGAAUGAGGGAUAGAGGUGCUAGGCAUGAAAGAAGGGGAAGAUAUCUUGUUGGGGAUGGAGUGGACAAAAAUGUGGGUAACAUCAAAAUGACAAUUCCUUCAUUCAAAGGAAUGAGUGAUCCGGAAGCAUACUUGGAGUGAGAG